Centrocercus urophasianus (Greater sage-grouse) is the source of this 1124-nucleotide long non-coding RNA. RefSeq lists it as uncharacterized. The transcript is spliced from 3 exons. Lineage: Eukaryota; Metazoa; Chordata; Aves; Galliformes; Phasianidae. The record is from RefSeq and is a predicted model, not a curated record.
AGCUGUGGCACGUUGUAUCCUGUAAUAAAGGACAGGGAAAGUAAAAUUCUCAAAGCAUUCAUGAAGAAAUCCAGAGCUUAGUGCCAUAUUCCAAAAAUAAAUCAGAAGAAUCUGUGUACAGGAAGCUUCUGGCUGCUGUUGCACAAGUGAGGAUGUCCCAAUGCUCAGCUCUUUCCCAAGCUUUUUGGCUCUGGAUGGAGGUGGGAGCUGCGGACUCAGGACUUCUAAAAAAAGAAAGAGACAUGGAGAAAGACAAUCACGCAAACAGGACAAAUAGCAGCCAGUGUAAGUCUGAGGAGCUGUGACGCAUCCCAGGAAAACUACAGAGCAAGCUUGGGUGAUGACAAUGACCAACCCUAUCUUUGACCUUUAGUCAGUCUUUAUAAUUAUUGUGAUUUUCUUUCAUUUUAUUGUGGUUUUUCAAAAUGUAUCUACACUGUACAAAUGUUGUUUUCCUCCGUUAAAAGAAUCCAAACAAACAAGCAAAAAACCAAGCUAAAAGUACAACCCCAAAGCUUGAAACUACAUAUUAUUCCUAGCCAUGUUCAGAAGGCAGAAAACAAAUGAAGCUGACCGUGUUGCUAUGCUGUUUCAACUAUGCCUGUCAAUCCAACAAAUGCCUGUUACUGUCUACACACCUACCCAGACAGACAUGUAUGACCUGCAGCUGGUCAUGCUCCCAUAAAGCUGAUGAAAGCGCUGUGCUUGCUGGGUCUGGACACCUGGGCUGCCUUCCCUGUGAAGGGUUCCCUCUAAAGUGAAAGACAAACAGAAGAUCUAAGGCUGUAAAAUCUGUCUCUCUGAUGGCAGUUGCAGCACAUCCACAGACUACACCUAUUCAACAGCUCAAUCGACAAAAACAAUGAUUAAAUAUCAACUACUUACCAAAGCAGUGUAUUUAAAAUUACUUGAGGGCUGUUUACAGCACAACACAAGAGCAGUGACAAAAAAACCCUACUCACUCUGAGCCAGGAGUGAGUAACAGCUUUUUUCUCCUGAUAACAUUACAUGUAUCUUAGGACAACAAUAGGACAGAUCCUGCUACGUGAUUCAAAGGCUUUCUGGUGACUGUGGGAGAGAGGAUGGAUUUGAUACUGCAGUGAAAGGAGGGAAAAGAUCAUGAG